Molecule: ribosomal RNA, 400 nt
Filed under: Verrucomicrobiales bacterium
Lineage: Bacteria; Pseudomonadati; Verrucomicrobiota; Verrucomicrobiia; Verrucomicrobiales
Description: bacterial LSU rRNA
Rfam family: Bacterial large subunit ribosomal RNA
Source: RNAcentral
GGUUUGGCACCUCGAUGUCGACUCAUCACAUCCUGGGGCUGGAGCAGGUCCCAAGGGUUUGGCUGUUCGCCAAUUAAAGUGGUACGUGAGUUGGGUUCAGAACGUCGUGAGACAGUUCGGUUUCUAUCUGCCGUGGGCGUUGAAGAAUUGAGAAGAGCUGCCCCUAGUACGAGAGGACCGGGGUGGACGUACCGCUGGUGUACCAGUUGUCCUGCCAAGGGCACCGCUGGGUAGCUAAGUACGGAAGAGAUAACCGCUGAAUGCAUCUAAGCGGGAAGCUCCCUUCAAGAUAAGUUCUUCCUAUGAGAGUCGUUAUAGAUGAUGACGUUGAUAGGCUGGGUGUGAAAGUGUGGUAACACAUGAAGCUAACCAGUACUAAUAACUCCAUUGACUUAUUCAA